RNA transcript from Mus musculus (house mouse), 5805 nucleotides. It is a transcript of the gene named collagen, type II, alpha 1, with no coding region annotated. The record is from RefSeq and is marked validated. The transcript has 54 exons. Lineage: Eukaryota; Metazoa; Chordata; Mammalia; Rodentia; Muridae.
GCAGAGCGCCGCUGGGCUGCCGGGUCUCCUGCCUCCUCCUGCUCCUAGGGCCUCCUGCAUGAGGGAGCGGUAGAGACCCGGACCCGCUCCGUGCUCUGCCGCCUCGCUGCGCUUCGCCCGGGCCAGGCUCUGCCAGGCCUCGCGGUGAGCCAUGAUCCGCCUCGGGGCUCCCCAGUCGCUGGUGCUGCUGACGCUGCUCAUCGCCGCGGUCCUACGGUGUCAGGGCCAGGAUGCCCAGGAGGCUGGCAGCUGUCUGCAGAAUGGGCAGAGGUAUAAAGAUAAGGAUGUAUGGAAGCCCUCAUCUUGCCGCAUCUGUGUGUGUGACACUGGGAAUGUCCUCUGCGAUGACAUUAUCUGUGAAGACCCAGACUGCCUCAACCCCGAGAUCCCCUUCGGAGAGUGCUGUCCCAUCUGCCCAGCUGACCUCGCCACUGCCAGUGGUCGUAAUUUAUUUAUUUAUUAUUCAACAUAAAUAAAUUACUCGGAGACACAGCAAAUGCCUUCCGUGGGUUUUGGCCUUCUCUUUGAAGCGGAGAAGCUGCUAAUCAAUCUAUUUGAUCCCACCAGCAGGGGCACAAAGGCAAGGCCACUUCUCGGUUCCACCAGGUUGAAGGCUGGUGAGCCUGAAUCACUACAGAGACCCUCCCUCACCUAACACCCCAGGAGGAUGCGUACAGAAACACAAUUAUGCUUCCACAAAAGUUUUCCCUCCUGAGUCAAGUCGGCUAAUUAAUUUAAGAAAAGCCAAAGGGGUAGCUGGGCUCUGGGAGUUGAAAGGAUGAUCGUGCCCCUGCAAGCUGCUGUGGUUACCCACUCCCAGCUAGAACCAGUGCUAACAAAGAAGAGUACAGCUGACCCCUUCCCAGCACCCACGCAAGUGUCCCAUCUCCCUACGGAGAGCGUGGGGGAUGCCCGCACAGGCUCAUGGUUCCCUUCCUACUCCUAUGGAGAAGAGGGCUGAACUGGAAUCGAGAAGUCGCCUUUCCUGCAUGCUUCCCCCACACUGUUGCCUGGUAUGGCGCAGAUUCUCAGAGGGAGGCGCCCAUACCAGUGCGGUGUGAGGACCCAGUGGAGCUUGCUGCUGUGGUGGGGGAGGGGCGUAUGGGUCUGGGAUGGCCCUGGCUGCAAUGCUCUUUGUAACACCUGUGUCCCGCUCUCUUUUGUGCUUACGUCAAGGAGACUCCACGCUAAUGAAAAUUAGGGCCAAAGGGGCAGAAAGGAGAACCUGGAGAUAUCAGAGAUAUCAUAGGACCCAGAGGACCUCCUGGCCCUCAGGGACCUGCAGGUGAACAAGGACCCAGAGGUGAUCGUGGUGACAAGGGAGAAAAGGGUGCGCCUGGACCCCGUGGCAGAGAUGGAGAACCUGGUACCCCUGGAAAUCCUGGCCCCGCUGGCCCUCCAGGUCCCCCUGGUCCCCCUGGCCUUAGUGCAGGAAACUUCGCGGCUCAGAUGGCUGGAGGGUAUGACGAGAAGGCUGGUGGUGCCCAGAUGGGAGUCAUGCAAGGGCCCAUGGGCCCCAUGGGACCCCGUGGACCCCCAGGCCCUGCCGGUGCCCCCGGCCCUCAAGGAUUUCAAGGCAAUCCUGGUGAACCUGGCGAGCCUGGUGUCUCUGGUCCCAUGGGUCCCCGAGGUCCUCCUGGCCCUGCUGGAAAACCUGGUGACGACGGUGAAGCUGGGAAGCCCGGAAAGUCUGGGGAAAGAGGCCUCCCUGGCCCUCAGGGUGCUCGUGGAUUCCCAGGAACCCCGGGUCUCCCCGGUGUCAAGGGUCACAGAGGUUACCCAGGCCUCGACGGUGCUAAGGGGGAAGCUGGUGCUCCGGGUGUGAAGGGUGAGAGUGGUUCCCCUGGUGAGAACGGAUCCCCGGGCCCAAUGGGUCCCCGUGGCCUGCCUGGUGAGAGAGGACGGACUGGCCCUGCUGGUGCUGCUGGUGCUCGGGGUAACGAUGGCCAGCCAGGCCCCGCUGGACCUCCGGGUCCUGUGGGUCCCGCAGGUGGUCCUGGCUUCCCUGGUGCUCCUGGUGCCAAGGGCGAAGCUGGUCCCACUGGUGCUCGCGGUCCUGAAGGUGCUCAAGGUUCUCGUGGCGAGCCUGGCAAUCCUGGGUCCCCUGGGCCUGCAGGUGCUUCUGGUAACCCAGGGACUGAUGGUAUUCCUGGAGCCAAAGGAUCCGCUGGUGCUCCUGGAAUUGCUGGUGCCCCUGGCUUCCCUGGGCCCCGUGGCCCUCCCGGUCCUCAAGGUGCAACUGGUCCCCUUGGCCCCAAAGGUCAGGCGGGUGAACCUGGCAUUGCUGGCUUUAAAGGUGAUCAAGGCCCCAAGGGAGAGACUGGACCUGCUGGGCCCCAAGGAGCCCCUGGCCCCGCUGGUGAAGAAGGCAAACGAGGUGCUCGAGGAGAGCCGGGUGGUGCUGGACCAAUCGGACCCCCUGGAGAGAGAGGUGCUCCUGGCAACCGUGGAUUCCCAGGUCAAGAUGGUCUGGCAGGUCCCAAGGGUGCCCCUGGAGAGCGAGGGCCCAGUGGCUUGACUGGUCCCAAGGGAGCCAACGGUGACCCGGGUCGUCCUGGAGAACCUGGUCUUCCUGGAGCCAGGGGUCUUACCGGUCGCCCUGGUGACGCUGGUCCUCAAGGCAAAGUUGGUCCUUCUGGAGCCCCUGGUGAAGACGGUCGCCCUGGACCUCCUGGUCCUCAGGGAGCUCGUGGGCAGCCUGGCGUCAUGGGUUUCCCUGGCCCCAAAGGUGCCAACGGCGAGCCUGGCAAAGCUGGUGAGAAGGGUCUGGCUGGCGCUCCUGGUCUGAGAGGUCUUCCUGGAAAAGACGGUGAGACGGGAGCCGCAGGACCCCCCGGCCCCAGUGGACCUGCUGGUGAACGAGGCGAGCAGGGCGCUCCUGGACCAUCAGGGUUCCAGGGACUUCCUGGCCCUCCCGGUCCCCCAGGUGAAGGUGGAAAGCAAGGUGACCAGGGUAUUCCUGGUGAAGCUGGAGCUCCUGGCCUUGUGGGUCCUCGGGGCGAGCGAGGUUUCCCAGGUGAACGUGGCUCUCCUGGUGCUCAGGGCCUUCAGGGUCCCCGAGGCCUCCCUGGCACUCCUGGUACUGAUGGUCCCAAAGGUGCAGCUGGCCCAGAUGGCCCCCCUGGGGCUCAGGGGCCUCCAGGUCUACAGGGAAUGCCUGGUGAGAGAGGAGCCGCUGGCAUUGCUGGGCCCAAGGGAGACAGAGGCGAUGUUGGCGAGAAAGGCCCAGAGGGAGCUCCUGGGAAGGAUGGCGGCCGAGGUCUGACUGGGCCCAUCGGACCCCCAGGCCCAGCAGGGGCCAACGGCGAGAAGGGAGAAGUCGGACCUCCUGGCCCGUCAGGAAGUACCGGAGCUCGAGGUGCCCCGGGUGAACGCGGAGAGACCGGGCCACCUGGACCUGCUGGAUUCGCUGGCCCUCCUGGUGCUGAUGGCCAGCCUGGUGCCAAGGGUGAUCAAGGAGAAGCCGGACAGAAAGGAGAUGCUGGUGCCCCCGGCCCACAAGGCCCCUCGGGAGCCCCUGGGCCACAGGGUCCUACUGGAGUGACUGGUCCUAAGGGAGCCCGAGGUGCCCAAGGUCCCCCGGGAGCCACCGGAUUCCCUGGAGCUGCUGGCCGAGUUGGACCCCCAGGUGCUAAUGGCAAUCCUGGACCCGCCGGUCCCCCUGGUCCUGCUGGAAAAGAUGGUCCCAAAGGUGUUCGAGGAGACAGUGGCCCCCCUGGCAGAGCUGGUGACCCCGGUCUUCAAGGUCCUGCAGGAGCUCCUGGCGAGAAAGGAGAACCUGGAGAUGAUGGUCCCUCUGGUCUUGAUGGUCCUCCAGGUCCCCAGGGGCUGGCUGGUCAAAGGGGCAUUGUUGGUCUGCCUGGUCAGCGUGGUGAGAGAGGAUUCCCCGGCCUUCCCGGCCCAUCGGGUGAGCCCGGCAAGCAGGGUGCACCUGGCGCGUCUGGAGACAGAGGUCCUCCUGGUCCUGUGGGGCCUCCUGGCCUGACAGGGCCUGCAGGUGAACCUGGACGAGAGGGCAGCCCUGGUGCUGAUGGACCCCCUGGAAGAGAUGGUGCAGCUGGAGUCAAGGGAGAUCGUGGUGAGACUGGAGCACUGGGUGCCCCUGGAGCUCCUGGGCCCCCAGGCUCUCCUGGUCCUGCUGGCCCAACUGGCAAACAAGGAGACAGAGGAGAGGCUGGUGCACAAGGUCCUAUGGGUCCCUCAGGACCUGCUGGAGCCCGUGGGAUUGCAGGCCCUCAAGGCCCCCGAGGUGACAAAGGAGAAUCUGGAGAGCAGGGCGAGAGGGGACUGAAGGGACACCGAGGUUUCACUGGACUGCAGGGUCUGCCUGGCCCUCCGGGUCCUUCUGGAGAUCAGGGUGCUUCUGGCCCUGCUGGUCCUUCUGGCCCUAGAGGUCCACCUGGCCCUGUUGGUCCCUCUGGCAAAGAUGGCUCUAAUGGAAUCCCUGGCCCCAUCGGGCCUCCAGGUCCCCGUGGACGCUCAGGAGAAACAGGCCCUGUUGGUCCCCCUGGAAGUCCCGGUCCUCCUGGCCCUCCAGGUCCUCCUGGUCCUGGCAUCGACAUGUCAGCCUUUGCUGGCUUAGGGCAGAGAGAGAAGGGCCCCGACCCCAUGCAGUACAUGCGGGCCGACGAGGCAGACAGUACCUUGAGACAGCACGACGUGGAGGUGGACGCUACACUCAAGUCACUGAACAACCAGAUUGAGAGCAUCCGCAGCCCCGACGGCUCCCGCAAGAACCCUGCUCGCACUUGCCAAGACCUGAAACUCUGCCACCCCGAGUGGAAGAGCGGAGACUACUGGAUUGAUCCCAACCAGGGCUGCACCUUGGACGCCAUGAAAGUUUUCUGCAACAUGGAGACCGGCGAGACUUGCGUCUACCCCAACCCAGCGACUGUCCCUCGGAAAAACUGGUGGAGCAGCAAGAGCAAGGAAAAGAAACACAUCUGGUUUGGAGAGACCAUGAACGGUGGCUUCCACUUCAGCUAUGGCGAUGGCAACCUGGCUCCCAACACCGCUAACGUCCAGAUGACUUUCCUCCGUCUACUGUCCACUGAGGGCUCCCAGAACAUCACCUACCACUGUAAGAACAGCAUCGCCUACCUGGACGAAGCGGCUGGCAACCUCAAGAAGGCCUUGCUCAUCCAGGGCUCCAAUGAUGUAGAGAUGAGGGCCGAGGGCAACAGCAGGUUCACAUACACUGCCCUGAAGGAUGGCUGCACGAAACACACUGGUAAGUGGGGCAAGACCGUCAUCGAGUACCGAUCACAGAAGACCUCCCGCCUUCCCAUUAUUGACAUCGCACCCAUGGACAUUGGAGGGGCUGAACAGGAAUUUGGUGUGGACAUAGGGCCUGUCUGCUUCUUGUAAAACCCCCGAACCCUGAAACAACACAAUCCAUUGCGAACCCAAAGGACCCAAACACUUUCCAACCGCAGUCACUCCAGGAUCUGCACUGAAUGGCUGACCUGACCUGAUGAUACCCAACCGUCCUCCCCUCACAGCCCGGACUGUGCUCCCCUUUCUAAGAGACCUGAACUGGGCAGACUGCAAAAUAAAAUCUCGGUGUUCUAUUUAUUUAUUGUCUUCCUGUAAGACCUCUGGGUCCAGGCGGAGACAGGAACUAUCUGGUGUGAGUCAGACGCCCCCCGAGUGACUGUUCCCAGCCCAGCCAGAAGACCCCUACAGAUGCUGGGCGCAGGGACUGCGUGUCCUACACAAUGGUGCUAUUCUGUGUCAAACACCUCUGUAUUUUUUAAAACAUCAAUUGAUAUUAAAAACCAAAAAAAAAAAAAUCAUUGGAAAGGA